UACGAGGGGGGCGAGCGUUGUUCGGAAUUAUUGGGCGUAAAGGGUGCGUAGGCGGCCUGACAAGUCUGAUGUGAAAUCCCUGGGCUCAACCCAGGGCCUGCAUCGGAAACUGUCGGGCUUGAGUAUGGGAGAGGUGAGUGGAAUUUCCGGUGUAGCGGUGAAAUGCGUAGAUAUCGGAAGGAACACCUGUGGCGAAGGCGGUUCUCUGGGCCUGUACUGACGCUGAGGAGCGAAAGCGUGGGGAGCGAACAGG
RNAcentral lists this ribosomal RNA (253 nucleotides) under uncultured bacterium. RNAcentral describes it as "partial 16S ribosomal RNA". It matches the Rfam family "Bacterial small subunit ribosomal RNA", at positions 524 to 776 of the family's 1533-position model. The record is from RNAcentral.